RNAcentral lists this ribosomal RNA (382 nucleotides) under uncultured eukaryote. Its description in RNAcentral is "partial 18S ribosomal RNA". It matches the Rfam family "Eukaryotic small subunit ribosomal RNA", at positions 592 to 976 of the family's 1831-position model. The record is from RNAcentral.
CAAUAGCGUAUAUUAAAGUUGUUGCAGUUAAAAAGCUCGUCGUUGGAUUUCUGUUGAGGUCGAACAGUGCCGCCCUAUGGGUGCGCAACUGGCUCGGCUUCGGCAUCUUCUUGGAGAGCGCAUCUGCACUUAACUGUGUGGAUCGUACUUCAAGUCAGUUACUUUGAGGAAUUGUGAGUGUUUCAAGCAGGCUUACGCCGUUGAAUCCGUUAGCAUGGAAUAAUAGGAUAGGACCUCGGUUCUAUUUUGUUGGUUUUGAGAGCUGGGGCAGCGAUUGAUAGGGACGGAUGGGGGCGUCCGAACUUUACUGUCAGAGGUGAAAUUCUUAGAUCGGUCAAAGGCGAACUACUGCGAACGCAUUCGCCAAGAAUGUUUUCUUUAA